CGGUAAUUCCAGCUCCACUUGCGUAUACUAAAGUUGCUGCAGUUAAAAAGCUCGUAGUCGGACUUCGGGGUGCUCUGGCUGAUCCGCUGAUGUUUCAGUGUGUGUCGGUUGGUAGUGUCCUAUUGCGUGUGGACGUGGGUCGCUUCGGUGGCCUUGCGUUAUCCGCGCCUUUUACCUUGAGGAAAUUGGAGGGUUUCAACCACGCUCUAAUGCUCUUGAACAGUUCAGCAUGGAAUAAUAAUACAAGACUACUGUCUUGCUUUGUUGGUUUCAUAGACAGAAGUAAUGACCAAUAGGGGUAGUCGGGGCCAUGUGUACCAGUUGGGGAGAGGUGAAAUUCUUAGAUCCAACUGUGACAAACUGAUGCGAAAGCGCUUGGCAAGGAUACUCUCAUUGAUCAAGAACGAAAGCCCGGGGAUAGAAGGCGAUUAGACACCACCGUAUUCCGGGCCAUAAACUAUUCCAUCUAGGGAUUGGGCGAUGUACCCAACUCGUCUCUCUCAGCACCUUUCGAGAAAUCAAAGAUUUCAGGGUCUGGGGGGAAUAUGGUCGCAAGACUGAAACUUAAAGGAAUUGACGGAAGGGCACACCAGAAAUGGAGCCUGCGGUUUAAUUUGAUUCAACACGGGAAACCUCACCAGGUCCAGACAUACUAAGGAUAGACAGAUUGAAAGCUCUUUCUUGAUUGUAUGAUUUGGUGGUGCAUGGCCGUUCUUAGUUCGUGGAGUGAUCUGUCUGCUUGAUUGCGAUAACGAACGAGACCUCCACCGUUAAAUAGUGUCGCUUAUCCAUGUGAUAGGUGUUCACUUCUGAGCGGGACAACCUGCCCAAGCAGGAGGAAGUGGGAGGCAAUAUCAGGUAUGUGAUGCCAUUAGAUGUUCCGGGCCACACGCGCAAUGCAAGGAGCGAGGCAACAAGUUUGUCCUGGGCAGUACAGUCCGGGUAAUAUUAUAAAUUCAAUCGUAGAUGGGAUAGGACAAUUGCAAGUGUGGUCCGUGAACUUGGAUCUUAUGGUAAGUUCAUCUCAUCAAGAUGUGUUGAUUACGUCCCUGCCCACAGUACACACCAAGCAAGGGUGAAUCCA
RNAcentral lists this ribosomal RNA (1084 nucleotides) under uncultured eukaryote. Its description in RNAcentral is "bacterial SSU rRNA". It matches the Rfam family "Eukaryotic small subunit ribosomal RNA", at positions 577 to 1831 of the family's 1831-position model. The record is from RNAcentral.